AAAAAACUAAAAAAAUCCCAUAAAAAAUGCCAAAAAAAAAAAAACAUAAGAGUGACCACUGCGUGGGUGCCGGCAUAACCAGCACAAACCAGUCAGGCAGAAAUCACAUGUAUGUUUCGAUAAAAAAAAUCGACAAAUCAAACACGAAAUAGUCUAAAAAUCAUCACGCGCUUCACCUGCCGGCUGGAUCCAGAGAGGCGCCUGCUGCACCGCCGAUGCCGGCGGGAAUGGGAGCGGAAGCCGGAGCCGGGGGCCCGGGGCAGGGCUCUCCUCCACCCAAGACGGCGCAGCCCCCACGGCCUUGCCCCCUCCAUCGCCAGACGAAUCCAUCCCCAUCGAUCAAAAAUCCAAACCUCGGAGGGGGACAGCAGUGGCGCGGAUCUGGAGUGGCACGGCCGCCACCUUGCCACAAUCGCGCCAGCCCGGGCGAAGGAGGGGAAGGAGUCGAGAGGGAGGAGGAUCAACUCGCACUCGAAUUUCCAGCCGUCCGAUCUCUUCGAGAUUAGUGCUUCUUUUAUCAAGCUAUUUCGGUUUGGAUCCGGUUUGUUCCACCCUUGUUCGACGGUGGGUGAUGCUGUCGAAUGUCGAUGGCGAGUGGCGACGAUGGGAGGAGGCAACUCCGCCGAUUUCUUCUCGGCGACGGCCUCGCUCGUCUUCUCCAGAGGAUUCUUCUCUCGUGCAGCAACGCCACUCCGUACUCCGCUGACUCGACAAGGCAUCCCGGCGAUGAAGCAAUCUUCAGGUGAUGGGAGGUUGCUGUUGCGGCUGUGGCUUCAGCUCCUAAAAAUUAGGCAAUGUGAUGUUUACGGCCCAGAUGGGGCAAAAUGAGAAAAAGGCAUGUAUCUAAGGCAGCUAUGGAAACCGAAGAAGAUGGAACCAGCUGCGGCUACCUCGCUUUUAUUCUAAAGAAUCUGAAAAUAAUUUGGUAUUUAGUGGCUUAUGGCAUGAAUUAAGUUGAAGUGAUUAAGUACCCUCUCUAUGAUCUCUGUUUUCAAAAUAGUGAUUGAGUACCUCAAUUUCUGGAGAAACAGUUACCUAAGAGCAAGGCUAAUAAUACAUCCGACCUGUUGGCUAUAAGGUUUUUUUAGCAUUCUCUCACUCUACCCAUAUAAUAGUCAGCUAUUUACAAUUAA
This is a long non-coding RNA of Oryza sativa Japonica Group (Japanese rice), 1133 nucleotides long. RefSeq lists it as uncharacterized. Lineage: Eukaryota; Viridiplantae; Streptophyta; Magnoliopsida; Poales; Poaceae. The record is from RefSeq and is a predicted model, not a curated record.